UCCGUUUGGUGGUGGGGGAGUACGGCCGGCUACGCCCGGGUAAUACCGCAUACGGUUCCUGCGAGGAGUCUCGCGGGAAAGAAACCUCCGGGGCACAGAGAGGGGCUCGCGGCCUAUCAGCUAGUUGGUGCGGUAACGGCGCACCAAGGCGACGACGGGUAGCUGGUCUGAGAGGAUGGCCAGCCACAUUGGGACUGAGAGACGGCCCAG
RNAcentral lists this ribosomal RNA (210 nucleotides) under uncultured bacterium. RNAcentral describes it as "partial 16S ribosomal RNA". It matches the Rfam family "Bacterial small subunit ribosomal RNA", at positions 125 to 334 of the family's 1533-position model. The record is from RNAcentral.